RNAcentral lists this long non-coding RNA (13452 nucleotides) under Prunus persica (peach). Its description in RNAcentral is "long non-coding RNA (PPER_LNC001329)". Lineage: Eukaryota; Viridiplantae; Streptophyta; Magnoliopsida; Rosales; Rosaceae. The record is from RNAcentral.
CAAAUGCCAAGCAAGGACCAGUUCGUUUUAAAAUAUAGGUAUCUUUUAUAUUCAUUACGCCAAGCCUAAUAAGAGAGAAACAUGGACAUAAAUCACAACCAAGAUUUCUGGUUAUGAUGUUAUAAUACAUAGGGAGGAACUGCGGUGAUUUAGCAUCUUCAUGUACUCCACACCUCUGGCCGUUCAUCUAACUCUUGGCUGCAGGCUUGCUUCCCGUUGUCUAAUAAAAGUCAUAAAAAGUUUGUAAGCACAUAAUUAAUGCCUCAUGGAUGAGAUCAUAGUUCCCAUGUUUGAAUAAAAAGAUUGUCUAAUGCACUCAUUGCUUGCACUCAUACUUCCCAUUAUGAGACAAUAAGAAAUGAAAUCUUGUUGUAAAGAUGAAUAAAUAAAGAAGAAUAGGUGAAGCCCACAUAGCCAACUAACACCCACCAAACCUAACCACACACCCACCAAACCAAACCACUACCCAAUUGAUUGAAGAAUAUUAAUGAUGUUGUUGAUUGAAGAAUAUUAAUGAUGUUGUCUACCAAUUAUAUUGUGAGGUGAACAACCAAUGUCUUAGGCCUAUAAAUAGAUACCGCCAUCAAGAGAAGUUUACACAUAUAGAAGAGGAAGAGAAGGAAGAAUGAGGGUGAAUGAGUUGAGAGGAAAGAGAGCAAGAGAGAAAUUCUCCAAGAGAGAAAAUUGAGUGAGCCAUACAUAUUGUAAACACAAAGUUGUAACCCUAUUACUUUACAUAGUGGAAAAGUAGGCAUAGCCGAACCUCGUUAAAUACUGUGUCUCAUCUACUUUACGUGCAGCUCAAUAUUCGCACAUAUACCAGUUCAUUUUAUAACACGUUAUCAGCACGAGAAGCUCUCAGGUAUAAUUUUUGUGUUGCACUAUUAUCUAUACUACUAACCCUUAUGUUGAUGUAAGGAAGAAAAGUAGUGGAGGAGCUGUGGUCUGCAAGAGAGAUAUACGAGCAAACCAACUGUGUGCAGAUUACAGGUGGAAAGCAUUUGAUUUAAGAGACAAGCAUGAUACCUUCCACAAACGAUAAUAAUAUUAUCUGCUAUACUAUUUGAUCGUGGUGUUGAUGAGAACCCACCAAUAAUUGCCUUUAAUUUACCGCACAUUUACAUUUAUUUAAAAGGGUGGUGCGGGUUUAUCGUCCACGCCUUUAUUUUUAUUUAAAUGUAUGGAGCAGAAUUAGUGCCCAUACAAGCACCAUUUACUUUACCGCACAUUUAAUUUUAUUUAAAGUAUGGUGCGGGAUUAACGUCCAUACAGCAAGCAAUUUAAUUUAUGAAUUUAAUUUACCGCACAUUUAUAUUUAUUUAAAAGGGUGGUGCGGGUUUAUCGUCUACGCCUUUACUUUUAUUUAAAUGUAUGGAGCAGAAUUAAUGCCCAUACAAGCACCUUAACUUUAUGAAUUUAAUUUACCGCACAUUUACAUUUAUUUAAAGUGUGGUGCGGGUUUAUCGUCCAUACCAGUAAUUUAUUUACCAACAAUUUAUUUUAUGGAUUAAAUGUGCUGUAUGAUGAGUUUUUACAGUAUGCAGAUCAGGACCAGAAGUUCCUUGAUCCUCAUCAUACAAUUACAUCAGGACUGAAGAUCCUUGAUGAUGAUGUUAAUAUGAGAGCUGUCAGUCUCUCCGGUACUAUAUUUGUAAACAUGUGAUUGGACUUGAGGGUCUUUGAUCCCUGACAUGUAAAUUAGGACCUGGGGUUCCUUAAUGAUGUAACAGUACCAUAUUGGUUCAUAAUGCCGUACACAUGGAUGAUAACUGUACUGGCAAAUGUAUUGUACACAUGAAUAGAUACGUAUUCAUGACUUGAUGAAUAGUACCGGAUAUAUGAAUAGUGACGUAUACAUAAAUAUUAACCAUUUUGGGUAAACCAUCACUAUUCAAAAAGGGAACCUGCAGUUCCUUAAACUCAUGAAUGAGCAAUUAAAUGAGAUGCCAGAAGUUCCUCAAGAUACGGACAAUUAUGUAAGGGCUUGAAGUCCAGAAAUAUGUAUAUAAAAUUGUAAAAAUGUCCAUACCAUGAGAACAUGUGAUUUUGGCUUGAGGUUCAAAAUCUAACAGUGUUGAGAACCUGAAGUUCCAACAAUUAAAUGGACAACCCUUGAGGUAUUAUUGCAAAUUGUGGUACGCCACAUAUUUCUUUGGCAUAAGAGAAUGAUGAAUUGAGGCUCCCCUCACAUUUUGUAAUAUCUGGGCCGGAAGCUCAUGAACCCAAAUAUAUGAGAUAUUAGCAUGGCUUUUACCCCAUUCAUAUUUCAUGUCCAUUUGAAAAGGGCGAAUAAAUUCUGAGUUUGUGUUUAGCCCAGGCCAAAAGUUCCAUACAUUGAAAUAUGAAAUUUGGGAGAGUCGAUGUGGUUAUUUGAACCUAUAAGGCACAAGGUUCCAAACCGUCAUCUUGAAAAGACGUAAAAAAAAAAAAAAAAAAAAAUCACAAGUGCAAGUUUAAGAAUGUGCGCAAUUAUUAUAACAUGAAAGGAACAUACAACAGAUAGAUUUUUCCACCUGCAAUGAAGGUGCUGGCCCUGUAAAAUCUAUAAAAUUACAUUAUGUUCUGGAAGCCUCUGAAGGAAGAGGACGACGCCUCUUAAGCUUAGCCAUGAGCCUCUCGUGGUCUCCCAAAAUUCUUUCAUUGGAGACCUGCAGCAUGUCUAGCCUUCUCAGUGUAUCAACAGAGUACGAACUCACCAGUUUCAACAAGGCAUUAUUCUCUCCUUUAAGUUUCUCAACCUCCUGUUGAGACUCAUGAAGCAUUCUUUGGAGAGACGAAUUUUCAGUUGUUAACCUCUCAACCUCGUUUGCUCUGGCACGCAAACGAUCAGCCAUGUUAGAAACAGAAGCAGCACUCUGAAUGCUAAAAGCCAUUGAGUCAUCAAUAGCCUCUUCCUCUGAUCUCCCUGUUAACAGCAUUUCAUCCAUUGGAGUAAUGAAAUUCCUAGCUACUAUGACAACAGUAGCAUCAUUCAUCAUCACAGAAUCAUUAACUGUGAGAUGACGAUUUUGGGAUACAAAGGAUGGACGCUAAACUUGGACGUCACUGGUUGUUGUGGGAGUAUCAUUUAAAUUGAGAUAAUUUGGGCAGGAAGAAGAGGAAGCCAUUUUUAAGAAGGUUUCGAAGAAAGUCUUAAGAAAACUAAAGUUUCAGAAAAUGAAGGAAGUUGAGUUGAAACGCAGUUGCUCCAAUCAAGUUUUGCAAAGGCAAUAUCUAUAGGAGGAAAUAUGACUACAGUUUUCAGGAUCCCAAUAUUAUGUCAGAUCCCCAUAUUAUCUUUUUCUUUCCCAGAUUCCAAAACUUCACGUGGCCUCCAUUAAUGUUUGUCGGCACUUUCGGCGUUUUCAAAGUAUUAUUUUCGUCAAAAGCUGAUCUUGCUUUACGGAUUUCAUGGAGCUACUUUUUCAAAAGUAUCCCGAGAAUCUCGCAAUUUUCCUAUGGUUAAUUUGAAAUUCACCGGUUCUACCUAUUCCUCUUAUUUGUGUAUAAAUGUGUUAAUAACGAAAUUUUCUUUGCAGAAGACAUCCAGUUUUCUCCAUACCUAGUGAUGCGAUAUCUACUUAUUUUUCUUAUCAGUGAGCACUCAAUAUGCCCGAGAAGCAAGACUAUCUCUGAUCAUCCAUUCAGGAAGCGAGACUAUCCCUGAUCACGUUUCCGCCACAUCAGGGAACUGUGAAGGCGACCUUAUGCUCUAAUCUCCGGAAGUUCUUCUAGACUAGGAGAAAUGAGAGCUGGUUGUUUGCUCCCACCAGCUUCCUUCCUUGAUUGCUGAGCUUGUUGUCUGCUCCCACCAGCUUCCUUCCUUGAUUGCUUACCUUCUCUUGCAAUCAAUAUCACAUUAUUUUUGCAUUUUUUCUCUUUUUGUAACUCUCUGAGGAUUAUUUGUUUUUGACAGAGAAAAGAGUUGUGAUUUUGCUCUUGCAGGAUGUAACUAGAUCAUCAAGCGCUACAUUUACUGGGCCGAUACAAGCUUGAAUGAUACUUGAGAAAAGUUUCUCCCACCUAAGGAAGUAAGCAAUACUUGUGUUAUUUUAUGCUUAUAUACUUAUUUGAUAUUUUAUCCGUUCCAAAAGAAUGGCUUGUAUGUAUCCACGAAUUAUUAAUGCAAAUUUUACAGAUUGCAAGUUGGAUACAUUGAUAAUACACUGCACAGAUUAAAGUCCCAUAAGAACAGAAUAUGAGUAUAGCAGUGAUCAAUAUGAUGCACGCCUAUUGCGUAGCAAAUGAUGUGGAUUGAAGUCCCGAAAGGACAAUCCUUUGACAUGUCAAUAUUGAUAUUAUGCACGCCUAAUGCGUAGCAAAUUAUAUGGGUUAAAGUCCCAUAAUAUGGGUUAAGGUCCCAGAAAUUAAUUGACAUGUAUGUAUUAAUCUGUGACAUGCCUUCAGCAUGACAGAUAUAUGGGUUCUAAAUGUUCCAACUCCCUAAAUGGAGAUUAUCCACGCCCUACUGCUAAAUAACGCUCCAAUGGAGGUUAUAAUCCACAUUCUCACAUAAUAAAAGCCCCAUGAAGUGGCUUGGGUACCCAAAGGCAAAUAAAUGCUUAUAAUUGAUGCAUGCGCAUGCAAAUGAGAAUGGUGGGAUCAUGAAUUGAUGAAUGACAAUUUUUGAUCAUGAAUUGAUGAAUGACAAUUUUUGGUUUUGGAGUAGCUACUCAAAUCAUCAAUGGGCUGUGUUGAUUGGAACCACGUUCAAUUAUUAAAUGUCGACAAUAUUAUUGGCCAAAAUGGAAUGAGGUAAUUCCAUUAUAGAUGAGAAUGAACGUGAAAGGACAAACCCACAGUACGAACCCCAAAAGAUGUUAAUACUGAAAUUUAUACUUGGGUGUUCGGAAUAAAAGGGAAUAUACAUACUUUGUAUGACACACUGUUUCUGGCAGAAACAAGGAAUGUUGGGUUUUCUCCAUAUUUACAGAUUCAAUUGUGCCCCCUCUUAUUACACAAUUACGGAGACCAACAUAUUAUCUUUAAGGGUUAUUAAAUGCACGGAGCAUAUCGUCAGAAGCGAUUUUCUAAAGAUAUAUAAAUAGCUGGGUAAAAGCUAUAUAAUGUGUCAUAAAGUUUAAACCCUUUUUAGACAAAAUCCGUUGAGAGAAUUGACAUUGCAUAAAGCAAGUCCCUAAAGGACAUGUGCUUGAAGCACAAAAUUUGUACUCAAUAUUAAUAUGCAUAAAUUACCUCAGUGAGUACAUUGAUUAUAAUGUGAUUGCAACACAUUAAAGCUUCUGCAGAGUUCAAGAAAUAUUUGUCUCGACUUAAGGAUCGAGCAUUAUGCCAACGAGAUUCUUGCUUAUACUAAGAAAGUAUUGAAGCAUUUUUAUGAGGAUUAUCCGUUGGACACUUUAAUGAUUUUCCGGAAGUAUAUUGGACCGGACAUCAUAUUUUCCAGAGAGGGCUCAACUCCAUCACCAUCAUUUUGGGAUGAUGUGAGGUAUAUUUGAUGCUAUCUCCGCAUAACACCAUGUACGGGCAUAUUCUUUCAAGUGAACUUACAAAUAGCCUAAGUUUUGUUAGAAACGCGGACUCUGAAAAUUUCUAUGAUUUACAUAGAGAUAGCUCACUGGAAAUAUAUUUACUUACUCAACUACGAGAAUUAUUAAUGGCUAUAUCCUCCACUCACUCCGAAAGAUUCUCACUCCAAAAGAUAGUCAUGAAGACAUCAGGGGGAGAUAUUAAUCAGGGGGAGAAUCCAGAAGUAUGCUAUACAGAUUGCUGUACUCUUUUUUUCUUCCUUCCAUCAGUUUUCUACCUCACUGGGUUUUUCUCCAAGCAAGGUUUUAAUGAGGCAACCAAUCUAGGGACAUGUGGUCUCCAAGGGGGAGUGUUGUAAAGAUGAAUAAGUAAAGAAGAAUAGGUGAAGCCCACAUAGCCAACUAACACCCACCAAACCUAACCACACACCCACCAAACCAAACCACUACCCAAUUGAUUGAAGAAUAUUAAUGAUGUUGUUGAUUGAAGAAUAUUAAUGAUGUUGUUGAUUGAAGAAUAUUAAUGAUGUUGUCUACCAAUUAUAUUGUGAGGUGAACAACCAAUGUCUUAGGCCUAUAAAUAGAUACCUCCAUCAAGAGAAGUUUACACAUAUAGAAGAGGAAGAGAAGGAAGAAUGAGGGUGAGUGAGUUGAGAGGAAAGAUAGCAAGAGAGAAAUUCUCCAAGAGAGAAAAUUGAGUGAGCCAUACAUAUUGUAAACACAAAGUUGUAACCCUAUUAUUUUACAUAGUGGAAAAGUUACUGCUGCUGCUCUCCGGGGAUGUAGGCAUAGCCGAACCUCGUUAAAUACUGUGUCUCAUCUACUUUACGUGUAGCUCAAUAUUCGCACAUAUACCAGUUCAUUUUAUAACAAAUCUUUAUUUUUUAUAUGCUUUUUGUUUUUGUCUCUUGUACUAUACGAGGUCUAGCCCAGUGGAAAAUGGUCUUGACUUGCAGACCAUUGGUCUCAAAUUUGAACUCCCCUGACACAUUGGUAGUGUGUGUGUGAGAAACCCCAUUCCCCUUGUUUAGGCUAUCACUUGUGUUUAUAAAUAAGAAAAACAGUAAUCUGUUGUAAAAGUGGAGUCCCCAAAAUGCCCCCAAAAUGCCUAUAAAUAGGGCUUUCCCUACUUGUAAGAAUAUACACAAUGAGAUUAAGAAAACAUUCAAUGAGAAAUCAGAUUUCUAUUCCCUUCUCUCUCUCUCAAUUUUCUUUCCAAUUUAGAUAGAUUUAUAACACGUUAUCAGCACGAAUUCGCUUUCAAAAUACCAGCUGAAUUCUCUGAUUUUUUUUUCUCUCUGCUUCUGGUUUCCGAGAAAUGAUCUGCUACCUCCAUCCAUGAAAGCAGACGGUGCGUUUGCUACUUUUGGCCAUGGACUGUUUACUAGAUAUCAGUGAGCCAAAUUCCAGAUCCCGAAUUGAAAAACAAAAUUUUCAACCAGAGCCAAACAAAAACGUUCAAUACCCAUUUCUCCCCGGCCCCUAGGCUAUCAUUCCCUCUCGGUUCCAAGCCCAGCAACGAAGCCAGACUGGGCAUACUGGAGCUGGCCAACAUGAUCAGCGUCCCCAUGUCCCUAAACGCCGUCGUUCGCCUCAAAGCUCACAGAGCCGGUUUUCGGACUUGUUCUUGGCGAGGAACCUGAUCUCCAUGGCCGCCUGCUUCUGCUUCUGAACCUGAUCUCCAACGUCGGCGGCAACGAGCUCACCAACAAUGGCGGCAACCACACCCUCGCCCCGUGAAGAGAACGUGUACAUGGUGAAGCUCGCGGAGUAAACUGAGCGUUACGAGGAGAUGAUGGAGUUCGUCGAGAAAGUCUUGGCCUCCGCCGAGAAGGAGGAGCUGACCGUGGAGGAGCGCAACCUCCUUUCCGUCGCCUACAAGAACGUGAUCGGCGCUCGCCGGGCCUCCUGGCGCAUCAUCUCCUCCAUUGAGCAGAAGGAGGAGAACCGCGGCAACGACGACUACGUCGCCAUGAUCCGCGACUACCGAUCCAAGAUCGAGACCUGCGAUGGCAUCUCUCGGUUGCCUUUAUUUCUCUAUGGUCCGAACUUUUGAAAACCCACUAACCCAAACGCCAUGAACUUCAGCUCCAUGAGCUGCCCUCUGAUCUUCACCCUCAGCUUUAGUCUACAAUCGGCGUCGAGUUCGCCACUCGGAGCACCCCAGCGUUGUUCAGAUCAAAGGCCACCGAUUUCGGCUUGUCCGUCUUCUACAAGCCAGGUCUGGGUUUUUCUUAUUUUUCAAAGAUGUUGAGGAGGACUAUGAGCUCGGCUACGCAGCAGCAGGGUCUGGAGGCUGUUUGGGGUGAACUUGGAGUGCCAGCAGCAGGCUGACCACGAGUCCCAGCCAUCCAUCCACACCCGAUGGCUCGUCGUCUUUGCCCAUGUCAUCGAGCCAGGGUCCAACCCCACACCACCACUUGUACCCCCGAGCUGCUUAUGACUAUGCUGCAGACCAGAGGCAAAAGAAGGGUGAAGCUUGAGCCAUUCUCUGCGCUUCCCAGUUACAUGAUGACGGCCACGACUGAUAAAGAAAAGCACCCACAGCUCAACAGAGAUGCCCAUGGAAAUGAUGACUUAGGUCUAAUGGCGGGCCACGCGAUAAACAUAAGUUGGCUGGACAGCACAUGUUGUCGAGUGCACAUGAUUACAGCCCCACCCACAUAUUCUGCUGCACAUGUGAAAACCCACCGAAACACUGAAAAAAUAAUAAUAAUAAUAAUAAAAGGGGAUCACUCAGCAAGGGCAUAAGCGAAAGAAUAAGCGAUAAGAUCUCUGCUCCCUUAUCUUCCCUAUUAUUUCCUAUUAUAUUUAUCUGCUUUUCUAUUACUAACCAUUAACAAAAAUGGACCCUUGGUAAUACUAAACAUAUUAUCAGUGGGAGACCAUUACUAAUACUAACAUUUUUCUUAUUUUAUUCGGUGGUGGUUUUAACCCCACAUUUAUUUUAUUUACUGUAUAGUGUAGGUUUAUUACCCAUACAACCAGUAUUUAUUUAAAAGGGUGGUGCGGGUUUAUCGUCCACGCCUUUACUUUUAUUUAAAUGUAUAGAGCAGAAUUAGUGCCCAUACAAGCACAAUUUACUUUACCGCACAUUUAAUUUUAUUUAAAGUAUGGUGCGGGAUUAACGUCCAUACAACAAGCAAUUUAUUUUAUGCAUUUAAUUUACCGCACAUUUACAUUUAUUUAAAAGGGUGGUGCGGGUUUAUCGUCCACGCCUUUACUUUUAUUUAAAUGUAUGGAGCAGAAUUAAUGCCCAUACAAGCACCUUAACUUUAUGAAUUUAAUUUACCGCACAUUUACAUUUAUUUAAAGUGUGGUGCGGGUUUAUCGUCCAUACCAGUAAUUUAUUUACCAGCAAGUUAUUUUAUGGAUUAAAUGUGCUGUAUGAUGAGUUUUUUUACAGUAUACAGAUCAGGACCAGAAGUUUCUUGAUCCUCAUCAUACAAUUACAUCAGGACUUGAAGAUCCUUGAUGAUGAUGUUAAUAUGAGAGCUGGCAGUCUCUCCGGUACUAUAUUUGUAAACAUGUGAUCGGACUUGAGGGUCCUUGAUCCCUGACAUGUAAAUAAGGACCUGGGGUUCCUUAAUGAUGUAACAGUACCGUAUUGGUUCAUAAUGCCGUACACAUGGAUGAUAACUGUACUGGCAAAUGUACUGUACACAUGAAUAGUGCCGUAUACAUGAAUAGUGAUGUAUGCAUAAAUAUUUAUCAUUUUGGGUAAACUAUCACCAUUCAAAAAGGGAACCUGCAGUUCCUUAAACUCAUAGAUGAGCAAUUAAAUGAGAUGCCAGAAGUUUCUCAAAAUAUGGACAAUUAUGUAAGGGCUUGAAGUCCAGAAAUAUGUACAGAAAAUUGUAAAAAUGUCCAUACCAUGAGAAUAUGUGAUUUUGGCCCGAAGUUCAAAAUCUAAGGGGAUUGAAUGUCCAUACCAUGAGAAUAUGUGAUUUUGGCCAGAAGUUCAAAAUCUAACAAUGUUGAGAACCUGAAGUUCCAACAAUUAAAUGGACAACCCUUGAGGUAUUAUUGCAAAUUGUGGUACGUCACAUAUCUCUUUGGCAUAAGAGAAUGAUGAAUUGAGGCUCCCCACAUAUUUUGUUAUAUCUGGGCCGGAAGCUCAUGAACCCAAAUAUAUGAAAUAUUAGCGUGGCUUUUACUCAAUUCAUAUUUCAUAUCCAUUUUGAAAAGGGCAAAUAAAUUCUGAGUUUGUGUUUAGCCCAGGCCGAAAGUUCCGGGCUCCCAUACGUUGAAAUAUGAAAUUUGGGAGAGUCGAUGUGGUUAUUUGAACCUAUAAGGCACAAGGUUCCAAACCGUCAUUUUGAAAAGACGUAAAAACCACAGGUGCAAAUUUUAAGAAUGUGCGCAAUUAUUAUAACAGGAAAGGAGCAAGUUGAAUCGCAGUUGCUCCAAUCAAGUUUUGCAAAGGCCAUAUCUAUAGGAGGAAAUAUGGCUACAGUUUCCAGGAUCCCAAUAUUAUCUCAGAUCCCCAUAUUAUCUUUUUUCUUUCCCAGAGUCCAAAACUUCAUGUGGCCUCUGACAAUGCAUGUCGGCACUUUCGGCGUUUUCAAAGUAUUAUUUUCAUCAAAAGCCGAUCUUGCUUUACGGAUUUCACGGAGCUACUUUUUCAAAAGUACCCCGAGAAUCUCGCAAUUUUCCUAUGGUUAAUUUGAAAUUCACCGGUUCUACCUAUUCAUUGUAUUUGUGUAUAAAUGUGUUACUAACGAAAUUUUCUUUGCAGAAGACAUCCAGUUUUCUCCAUACCUAGUGAUGCGAUAUCUACUUGUUUUUCUUAUCAGUGAGCACUUAAUAUGCCCGAGAAGCAAGACUAUCUCUGAUCAUCCAUUCAGGAAGCGAGACUAUCCCUGAUCACGUUUCCGCCACAUCAGGGAACUGUGAAGGCAACCUUAUGCUCUAAUCUCCGGAAGUUCUUCUAAACUAGAAGAAAUGAGAGCUUGUUGUUUGCUCCCACCAGCUUCCUUCCUUGAUUGCUGAGCUUGUUGUCUGCUCCCACCAGCUUCCUUCCUUGAUUGCUUACCUUCUCUUGCAAUCAACAUCACAUUAUUUUUGCAUUUUUUUUUCUCUUUUUAUAACUCUCUGUUCAUAAGAGAUUUUACUUCUUUAGAAUGAACAUCUGAAGAAUGAAUCCAUGAAGUGAUCCUAACUAUGAGGUUUAUUUGUUUUAACAGAGGCAAAAGAGUUGUGAUUUUACUCUUGCAGGAUAUAACUAGAUCAUCAAGCGCUACAUUUACUGGGCCGAUACAAGCUUGAAUGAUAAUUGAGAAAAAUUUCUCCCACCUAAGGAUGUAAGCAAUACUUGUGUUAUUUUAUGCUUAUAUACUUAUUUGAUAUUUUAUCUUGAAAGGUAACCAAAUGGGAAGAUAAGUCCGUUCCAAAAGAAUGGCUUGUAUGUAUCCAUGAAUUAUUAAUGCAAAUUUUGCAGAUUGCAAGUUGGAUACAUUGAUAAUACACUGCACAGAUUAAAGUCCCAUAAGAACAGAAUAUGGGUAUAGCAGUGAUCAAUAUGAUGCACGCCUGUUGCGUAGCAAAUGAUAUGGAUUGAAGUCCCGAAAGGACAAUCCUUUGACAUGUCAAUAUUGAUAUUAUGCACGCCUAAUGCGUAGCAAAUUAUAUGGGUUAAAGUCCCAUAAUAUGGGUUAAAGUCCCAGAAAUUAAUUGACAUGUAUGUAUUAGUCUGUGGCAUGCCUGCAGCAUGACAGAUAUAUGGGUUCUAAAUGUUCCAACUCUCUAAAUAGAGAUUAUCCACGCCCUACUGUAAAAUAACGCUCCAUUGGAGGUUAUAAUCCACAUUCUCACAUAAUAAAAGCCCCAUGAAGUGGCUUGGGUACCCAAAAGCAAAGGAAUGCUUAUAAUUGAUGCAUGCGCAUGCACAUGAGAAUUGUGAGAUUAUGAAUUGAUGAAUGACAAAUUUUUAGUUUUGGAGUAGCUACUCAAAUCAUCAAUGGGCUGUGUUGAUUGGAACCACGUUCAAUUAUUAAAUGUCGACAAUAUCAUUGGCCAAAAUGGAACGAGGUAAUUCCAUUAUAAAUGAGAAUGAACGUGAAAGAACAAACCCACAAUACGAACCCCAAAAUUUGUUAAUACUGAAUUUAUACUUGGGUGUUCGGAAUAAAAGGGAAUAUACCUACUUUGUGUGACACACUGUUUCUGGCAGAAACAAGGAAUGUUGGGUUUUCUCCAUAUUUACAGAUUCAAUUGUGUCCCCCCUUAUUACACAAUUACGGAGACCAACAUAUUAUCUUUAAGGGUUAUUAAAUGCACAGAGCAUAUCGCCAGAAGCGAUUCCCUAAAGAUGUAUAAAUAGCUUGGUUAAAGCUAUAUAAUGUGUCAUAAAGUUUAAUCCCUUUUAGACAAAAUCCGUUGAGAGGAUUGACAUUGCAUAAAGCAAGUCCCUAAAGGACAUGUGCUUGAAGCACAAAAUUUGUACUCAAUAUUAAUAUGCAUAAAUUACCUCAGUGAGUACAUUGAUUAUAAUGUGAUUGCAACACAUUAAAGCUUCUGCAGAAUUCAUGAAAUAUUUGUCUCGAUCGAGCAUUAUACCAACGAGAUUCUUGCUUAUACUAAGAGAGUCUUAUCCGUUGGUCCUUAAAUGUUUUUCCGGAAGUGUACUAGACCAGAUAGAGCUCAGCUCCACACUAUACUCUUUUUCCUUCAUCCAGGUUUUUAUCCCAUUGGGUUUUUCCUGGUAAGGUUUUAACGAGGCAGUGUCGCUCAAGGGUUUAGGGUAUACUAUGAAAAUUUUUAUGGUCGCUUACUGGACAAAAGCUAGUCCUAAAUUUUUCAGGGGGAGAUAUUCAUCAGGGGGAGCAUGGUUUUGAUAAAGACCUUCAUACACUGUACUCUUUUUCCUUCAUCCAGGUUUUUAUCCCACUGGGUUUUUCCUGGUAAGGUUUUAACGAGGCAGUGUCGCUCAAGAUUGACUCACAGAAGUAGUGUCAACUACGAUAUUCAGAAAGUUGAUCAACAGUAUGACUUAAAGAUAUUUUGCCAAGCAUCAGGGGGGAGCGCGCUAUCAAUAAAGAUCUUCAAACACCGUACUCUUUUUCCUUCGUCCAGGUUUUUAUCCCACUGGGUUUUUCCUGGCAAGGUUUUAACGAGGCAGUGUCGCACGCGCGUCAAUAUACACAGAAUUUUAUGUUACACAUAAUUAUGAACUUUUUUUUCCCUUUGACCAGUUUUUGUCCCACUGGGUUUUUACUGGCAAGAUUUUUAACGAGACAUAUUCUGUAUCAUUUGUGGUCUCCAAGGGGGAGUGUUGUAAAAGUGGAGUCCCCAAAAUGCCUAUAAAUAGGGCUUCCCCUACUUGUAAGAAUAUACACAAUGAGAUUAAGAAAACAUUCAAUGAGAAAUCAGAUUUCUAUUCCCUUCUCUCUCUCUCAAUUUCCUCUCCAAUUUAGAUAGAUUUAUAACAUAAUCAGAAAUUUGGUUAGUUCUUGGCUGCCGCUUUGCCACCUAAACCCUGUACAAUCAUCAUUGGUUUGUUAAUGAAACCAAAUAUUUUUAAUACAAACAAUAGUUAAAAUUAAUUUAAAGGGGAUUCAAACUUGGGUGCAAAUGAAGCGGGCUUAUUGCCUUGGCCAACUAGCUUAACCCACAUCUGCUAAUGAAACCAAAUUAAUUAACAUAAAGCAUGAAGACAAACCAAAUCAUACAUUUAACUGAUAGGCCAAGAAGAUGACCCGAAUGUGGAUAUAUAUGUACCUUCUUCUUGGGUGCCUGAGGCUUUGGUGCAGCCUUCUUUGGGGCUGCCUUAGAUGCUGGGGCUUUGGCUCCACCAUCACUGACCUUGGGUUCUUUCUUGGCCUGGCCAAACUGUUGAGUGCCAACUUGCUUUAUUUCAGCCUUCAUUGAUGCCAUGUAUAGUUCUCUAAGAAACUCUUUCACAAUGAUAUAUGAAAAAUCUAACGUAGGUAUUAACUCGAUGGCCUCAACUCAACUGCUCGCUCCUUCUGAGCCUACCCUUCUA